Molecule: ribosomal RNA, 1566 nt
Filed under: Streptococcus mutans
Lineage: Bacteria; Bacillati; Bacillota; Bacilli; Lactobacillales; Streptococcaceae
Description: bacterial SSU rRNA
Rfam family: Bacterial small subunit ribosomal RNA
Source: RNAcentral
UUGGAUCAAAGCUCUUCCCGCAUUGUUUUGGGGGACCCGCGUUAGAGUUUGAAUCUGGCUCAGGACGAACGCUGGCGGCGUGCCUAAUACAUGCAAGUGGGACGCAAGGGAACACACUGUGCUUGCACACCGUGUUUUCUUGAGUCGCGAACGGGUGAGUAACGCGUAGGUAACCUGCCUAUUAGCGGGGGAUAACUAUUGGAAACGAUAGCUAAUACCGCAUAAUAUUAAUUAUUGCAUGAUAAUUGAUUGAAAGAUGCAAGCGCAUCACUAGUAGAUGGACCUGCGUUGUAUUAGCUAGUUGGUAAGGUAAGAGCUUACCAAGGCGACGAUACAUAGCCGACCUGAGAGGGUGAUCGGCCACACUGGGACUGAGACACGGCCCAGACUCCUACGGGAGGCAGCAGUAGGGAAUCUUCGGCAAUGGACGAAAGUCUGACCGAGCAACGCCGCGUGAGUGAAGAAGGUUUUCGGAUCGUAAAGUUCUGUUGUAAGUCAAGAACGUGUGUGAGAGUGGAAAGUUCACACAGUGACGGUAGCUUACCAGAAAGGGACGGCUAACUACGUGCCAGCAGCCGCGGUAAUACGUAGGUCCCGAGCGUUGUCCGGAUUUAUUGGGCGUAAAGGGAGCGCAGGCGGUCAGGAAAGUCUGGAGUAAAAGGCUAUGGCUCAACCAUAGUGUGCUCUGGAAACUGUCUGACUUGAGUGCAGAAGGGGAGAGUGGAAUUCCAUGUGUAGCGGUGAAAUGCGUAGAUAUAUGGAGGAACACCAGUGGCGAAAGCGGCUCUCUGGUCUGUCACUGACGCUGAGGCUCGAAAGCGUGGGUAGCGAACAGGAUUAGAUACCCUGGUAGUCCACGCCGUAAACGAUGAGUGCUAGGUGUUAGGCCCUUUCCGGGGCUUAGUGCCGGAGCUAACGCAAUAAGCACUCCGCCUGGGGAGUACGACCGCAAGGUUGAAACUCAAAGGAAUUGACGGGGGCCCGCACAAGCGGUGGAGCAUGUGGUUUAAUUCGAAGCAACGCGAAGAACCUUACCAGGUCUUGACAUCCCGAUGCUAUUCUUAGAGAUAGGAAGUUACUUCGGUACAUCGGAGACAGGUGGUGCAUGGUUGUCGUCAGCUCGUGUCGUGAGAUGUUGGGUUAAGUCCCGCAACGAGCGCAACCCUUAUUGUUAGUUGCCAUCAUUAAGUUGGGCACUCUAGCGAGACUGCCGGUAAUAAACCGGAGGAAGGUGGGGAUGACGUCAAAUCAUCAUGCCCCUUAUGACCUGGGCUACACACGUGCUACAAUGGUCGGUACAACGAGUUGCGAGCCGGUGACGGCAAGCUAAUCUCUGAAAGCCGAUCUCAGUUCGGAUUGGAGGCUGCAACUCGCCUCCAUGAAGUCGGAAUCGCUAGUAAUCGCGGAUCAGCACGCCGCGGUGAAUACGUUCCCGGGCCUUGUACACACCGCCCGUCACACCACGAGAGUUUGUAACACCCGAAGUCGGUGAGGUAACCUUUUAGGGGCCAGCCGCCUAAGGUGGGAUGGAUGAUUGGGGUGAAGUCGUAAGCGAAGGUAACCAGC